Molecule: long non-coding RNA, 263 nt
Organism: Selaginella moellendorffii
Lineage: Eukaryota; Viridiplantae; Streptophyta; Lycopodiopsida; Selaginellales; Selaginellaceae
Exons: 2
Source: RefSeq, a predicted model, not a curated record
CUGAUGGGUUUUUUUUUCUUUUUUUUCUUCUUGGGUUUCGUCCUGACAGCAUGGAUUCGCGUCCAGUGGCAGCGGCUGGCAAGAAAAGUUUUCGUAAAGAAGGGAUUGCCCCGUUUGAUGAGGAUGUGGAAAUGGAGAAUGCGUUUCCUCCUCCGCUACCAUCUUCACCGCCGCCGCCUCUCCCAUCCUCGCCGCUACCCAAUCGCUAAAGUGUGUGUCAACUUAGAGCUUUUUCCUUAAAAAACUUGUAGCUUUUUUUUUUA